Molecule: ribosomal RNA, 643 nt
Filed under: Streptomyces sp. ENT-19
Lineage: Bacteria; Bacillati; Actinomycetota; Actinomycetes; Kitasatosporales; Streptomycetaceae
Description: bacterial SSU rRNA
Rfam family: Bacterial small subunit ribosomal RNA
Source: RNAcentral
GGCCUAUCAGCUUGUUGGUGAGGUAGUGGCUCACCAAGGCGACGACGGGUAGCCGGCCUGAGAGGGCGACCGGCCACACUGGGACUGAGACACGGCCCAGACUCCUACGGGAGGCAGCAGUGGGGAAUAUUGCACAAUGGGCGAAAGCCUGAUGCAGCGACGCCGCGUGAGGGAUGACGGCCUUCGGGUUGUAAACCUCUUUCAGCAGGGAAGAAGCGAAAGUGACGGUACCUGCAGAAGAAGCGCCGGCUAACUACGUGCCAGCAGCCGCGGUAAUACGUAGGGCGCAAGCGUUGUCCGGAAUUAUUGGGCGUAAAGAGCUCGUAGGCGGCUUGUCACGUCGGUUGUGAAAGCCCGGGGCUUAACCCCGGGUCUGCAGUCGAUACGGGCAGGCUAGAGUUCGGUAGGGGAGAUCGGAAUUCCUGGUGUAGCGGUGAAAUGCGCAGAUAUCAGGAGGAACACCGGUGGCGAAGGCGGAUCUCUGGGCCGAUACUGACGCUGAGGAGCGAAAGCGUGGGGAGCGAACAGGAUUAGAUACCCUGGGUAGUCCACGCCGUAAACGGUGGGCACUAGGUGUGGGCAACAUUCCACGUUGUCCGUGGCCGCAAGCUAACGCAUUAAGUGCCCCGCCUGGGGAGUACGG